RNAcentral lists this long non-coding RNA (304 nucleotides) under Trifolium pratense (red clover). RNAcentral describes it as "long non-coding RNA (TPRA_LNC010531)". The record is from RNAcentral. Lineage: Eukaryota; Viridiplantae; Streptophyta; Magnoliopsida; Fabales; Fabaceae.
AUGGUUUAGUUCCAAGUGGAGUGUACUCUUUAUGGUGGAGUAUGAUAAUUUAAUUUGUCGGUAUAGACAAUGAGAAUUAUGAUUGUCGGUGAAGACAAUGAUUGUCGGUAUAGACAAUGGAAGCAGAAGAUAAUGAUUGUUGGUAUAGACAAUGAAGAUUGAAGACCAUUACAAUCAAGGUGGAGAUUGUUGGGAUUGAUUGCAAUGUAAGUCCCACAUUGCUAAUGAAGAAAAAGAAGGAGGUUAAAAAAUAGCUAUUGAAAGUCCCACAUCGCUUAGAAUUGUGAAGCAAUGAGGGAAUCAA